This 801-nucleotide antisense RNA is filed under the name Pongo abelii (Sumatran orangutan). The stretch from base 242 to 369 matches the Rfam family "ZEB2 antisense RNA 1 conserved region 1". Lineage: Eukaryota; Metazoa; Chordata; Mammalia; Primates; Hominidae. The record is from RNAcentral.
AAGAAAGGAAAGAGAAAGUCCAACCACUACGGCAAUACUUUUAAGCUCUACUAAAUGACGGUAUCCUUUCUGGCUUCGAAACUUUUGUACCUAAAAAUCGAGAGAGGCGCUGCAUUUUUUCAGUUGAAACUGUCAAAACUUGGAGAAGGGGAACCUCGGAGGCAGGCAGGAGAGGAGAAUCCUGAAAACUCGGUGGAGGUUGGGAAGAUGCUGUGCCUCGAGGAUUAGUUUAAACAGGGGGCUAUAAAAGAUGUAACAGAUGCAAACUGUAACACAAGGGCCAUUAACCCUUUCUCUGCCGGGCACACUCAGUCCCCACGCCCCGCACCUAUUGUCUCCUGUGCUAGAAGCUUUGCAGAAAACCUGGAAAGGGAAAUCCUGAAAUAAAGAAAUGGUCACACAAGUGUCUGGGAUGAAACAGCUGGCCUGUCUAUAUUCAUCCUGAGACACACGACUGCAUAUAAAUACAUGUUUAAUAAAUUUUGGCCAGAAAUGGUGAGAAGAAAAAGCAUGAAGAAGCCGCGAAGUGUGGGGGAGAAAAAGGUGGAAGCGAAGAAACAGCUCCCGGAGCAAACUGUACAAAAACCUCGCCAAGAGUGUCGGGAGGCAGGACCGUUAUUCCUGCAGAGCAGGAGAGAGACGAGAGACCCUGAAACACGCGCCACCUAUCUUUGUGGGGAGGGAUAAUUGAAGCGCCCUGAGCGUGAGCAUCAUGUGAAAACGUGAUCGCCAAGUUUCUCUCUGGGAAAGGAUCUGGGAUAGAUUAUACCUUGAAGUCUCCGCAAACGCUUUAGUGGAAGA